CCUACGGGUGGCAGCAGUCGAGAAUCAUUCACAAUGGGGGAAACCCUGAUGGUGCGACGCCGCGUGGGGGAAUGAAGGUCUUCGGAUUGUAAACCCCUGUCAUGUGGGAGCAAAUUAAAAAGAUCGUACCACAAGAGGAAGAGACGGCUAACUCUGUGCCAGCAGCCGCGGUAAUACAGAGGUCUCAAGCGUUGUUCGGAAUCACUGGGCGUAAAGCGUGCGUAGGCUGUUUCGUAAGUCGUGUGUGAAAGGCGCGGGCUCAACCCGCGGACGGCACAUGAUACUGCGAGACUAGAGUAAGGGAGGGGGAACCGGAAUUCUCGGUGUAGCAGUGAAAUGCGUAGAUAUCGAGAGGAGCACUCGUGGCGAAGGCGGGUUCCUGGACAUUAACUGACGCUGAGGCACGAAGGCCAGGGGAGCGAAAGGGAUUAGAUACCCUUGUAGUC
Molecule: ribosomal RNA, 446 nt
Filed under: uncultured bacterium
Lineage: Bacteria
Description: partial 16S ribosomal RNA
Rfam family: Bacterial small subunit ribosomal RNA
Source: RNAcentral